RNAcentral lists this ribosomal RNA (429 nucleotides) under Bacteroidota bacterium. RNAcentral's name for it is "Bacteroidetes bacterium partial 16S ribosomal RNA". It matches the Rfam family "Bacterial small subunit ribosomal RNA", at positions 355 to 776 of the family's 1533-position model. The record is from RNAcentral. Lineage: Bacteria; Pseudomonadati; Bacteroidota.
UAGGGAAUCUUCCGCAAUGGGCGAAAGCCUGACGGAGCAACGCCGCGUGAGUGAUGAAGGUCUUCGGAUCGUAAAACUCUGUUAUUAGGGAAGAACAAAUGUGUAAGUAACUAUGCACGUCUUGACGGUACCUAAUCAGAAAGCCACGGCUAACUACGUGCCAGCAGCCGCGGUAAUACGUAGGUGGCAAGCGUUAUCCGGAAUUAUUGGGCGUAAAGCGCGCGUAGGCGGUUUUUUAAGUCUGAUGUGAAAGCCCACGGCUCAACCGUGGAGGGUCAUUGGAAACUGGAAAACUUGAGUGCAGAAGAGGAAAGUGGAAUUCCAUGUGUAGCGGUGAAAUGCGUAGAUAUAUGGAGGAACACCGGUGGCGAAAGCGGCUCUCUGGUCUGUAACUGACGCUGAGGCUCGAAAGCGUGGGGAGCGAACAGG